CGGGGGGAGCAAGCGUUGUUCGGAUUUACUGGGCGUAAAGGGCGCGUAGGCGGCCACCGCAAGUCGACUGUGAAAUCUCCGGGCUUAACUCGGAAAGGUCAGCCGAUACUGCGGGGCUAGAGUGCAGAAGGGGCAACUGGAAUUCUCGGUGUAGCGGUGAAAUGCGUAGAUAACGAGAGGAACACCUGCGGCGAAGGCGGGUUGCUGGGCUGACACUGACGCUGAUGUGCGAAAGCUAGGGGAGCGAACGGGAUUAGAUACCCCGGUAGUCCUAGCCUUAAACGAUGAAUGCUUGGUGUCUGGGGUUCUAUAGUCCCCGGGUGCCGUCGCUAACGCUUUAAGCAUUCCGCCUGGGGAGUACGGUCGCAAGACUG
Molecule: ribosomal RNA, 374 nt
Filed under: uncultured organism
Description: bacterial SSU rRNA
Rfam family: Bacterial small subunit ribosomal RNA
Source: RNAcentral